UGAAGAUCAUUUCAUCCCGGCACGCUAGUAGCUCCAUGAAGAAUGGGUAAGGGAAUGCCACAUACAUAUUGCAAUGUGCCAAACCAAAUACUCAACAACAAUUGCUAGAGUAUUACUUGAUCUUAUUGCACAACUGUAUUUCCACACACAUAUCAGGAAUUAUUUUUAUUUCUUGGGAAAAGUAAUAUGCAUGAAAGCCAAUUUGACUAGGCUGGAAAAUUAAGGCGCAAGUAAAUAAGGAGGGGUCAUCGGUCGUAGCAUGUCUUCUGAAGACGAGGAUUCUUUACACUCUCUCUCACACCCAUCCAUAGUCGGAUAACAUAACGAAUCUACCAAACAACAGUUGCAAUAUCCACGAGUGCUACAACGAGACAGAUUCACAUGAACGCAUAGCCCGUGUGGUAAACUAAUCUUCUCGAUAUCCACGUCAGACAUGAUUCGGCCUAUGAAAUAACAAACAAACACUUAAUUGUUUUGCCACUAUAUGAAUUAGGGUAGAAUAAAUUAACGCACAAGAGAUUAAACAAGAAAAGUAAAAGAAAAGGCUUCCUUCACUAGCUAUACUACAUAUAGAAUUCCAAGAGCAGUGAAAAAAAUAAACUCGAUUAGUGUGCUUGCAUUGAGCAACAGUAGCAUGGCAUACGAGAUGUAGAGAUAUAGUAAGGCUAGCUAGUGCAAGGAACCGAAUUGUGUACUUGUCCAUACUCCACAUGAUCCAACACUAGUUUGUUGAUCGCUUUGGAAGUUGAUGCGAAAUAUUUGCCAACAACACAUGACAUCC
RNAcentral lists this long non-coding RNA (781 nucleotides) under Triticum aestivum (bread wheat). Its description in RNAcentral is "long non-coding RNA (TAES_LNC012138)". The record is from RNAcentral. Lineage: Eukaryota; Viridiplantae; Streptophyta; Magnoliopsida; Poales; Poaceae.